UACGUAGGUGGCGAGCGUUAUCCGGAUUUACUGGGUGUAAAGGGCGUGUAGGCGGUUUUGUAAGUCGGACGUGAAAUUCCCAAGCUUAACUUGGGCGCUGCAUCCGAAACUGCGAAACUUGAGUACUGGAGAGGAUAGUGGAAUUCCUAGUGUAGCGGUAAAAUGCGUAGAUAUUAGGAGGAACAUCAGUGGCGAAGGCGACUAUCUGGACAGUAACUGACGCUGAGGCGCGAAAGCGUGGGGAGCAAACAGGAUUAGGUACCCUGGUAGUCCACGCCGUAAACGAUGGAUACUAGGUGUAGGGGGUAUCGACCCCCCCUGUGCCGGAGUUAACACAAUAAGUAUCCCACCUGGGGAGUACGGCCGCAAGGUUGAA
RNAcentral lists this ribosomal RNA (376 nucleotides) under uncultured bacterium. RNAcentral's name for it is "bacterial SSU rRNA". It matches the Rfam family "Bacterial small subunit ribosomal RNA", at positions 524 to 898 of the family's 1533-position model. The record is from RNAcentral.